AGCUCCAAUAGCGUAUAUUAAAGUUGCUGCGUUUAAAAAGCUCGUAGUUGGAUCUCAGUCUCGAUCGAGCGGUCCGUCUUCUGACGGCACUGCGCGAAUCGGACAUUCCGGAGUGUGAGGGGAGAGUGGUACGUUUACUUUGAAAAAAUUAGAGUGCUCAAAGCAGGCCACCGCCUGAAUAGUCGUGCAUGGAAUGAUGGAAUAGGACCUCGGUUCUAUUUUGUUGGUUUCCGGAACUUGAGGUAAUGAUUAAUAGGGACGGACGGGGGCAUUUGUAUUGCGACGUUAGAGGUGAAAUUCUUAGAUCGUCGCAAGACAAACUACUGCGAAAGCAUUUGCCAAGAAUGUUUUCA
RNAcentral lists this ribosomal RNA (353 nucleotides) under uncultured eukaryote. Its description in RNAcentral is "SSU rRNA". It matches the Rfam family "Eukaryotic small subunit ribosomal RNA", at positions 587 to 972 of the family's 1831-position model. The record is from RNAcentral.